Molecule: ribosomal RNA, 474 nt
Filed under: uncultured bacterium
Lineage: Bacteria
Description: bacterial SSU rRNA
Rfam family: Bacterial small subunit ribosomal RNA
Source: RNAcentral
AUUGAACGCUGGUGGCAUGCUUAACACAUGCAAGUCGAACGGUAACAGGUCUUCGGAUGCUGACGAGUGGCGGACGGGUGAGUAACGCGUAGGAAUCUGCCCAUUUGAGGGGGAUACCAGUUGGAAACGACUGUUAAUACCGCAUAAUAUCUGUGGAUUAAAGGUGGCUUAGGCUGCCGCAGAUGGAUGAGCCUGCGUUGGAUUAGCUAGUUGGUGGGGUAAGGGCCUACCAAGGCUACGAUCCAUAGCUGAUUUGAGAGGAUGAUCAGCCACAUUGGGACUGAGACACGGCCCAAACUCCUACGGGAGGCAGCAGUGGGGAAUAUUGGACAAUGGGGGAAACCCUGAUCCAGCAAUGCCAUGUGUGUGAAGAAGGCUCUAGGGUUGUAAAGCACUUUAGUGGGGAGGAAAGCCUAUGAGUUAAUAGCUUGUAGGAAGGACGUUACCCAAAGAAUAAGGACCGGCUAACUCCGU